Molecule: ribosomal RNA, 434 nt
Filed under: uncultured bacterium
Lineage: Bacteria
Description: bacterial SSU rRNA
Rfam family: Bacterial small subunit ribosomal RNA
Source: RNAcentral
AACGUACGCUGGCGGCACGCCUAACACAUGCAAGUCGAACGGAGUAGCAAUACUCAGUGGCAGACGGGUGAGUAACAUGUAGGUAUCUGCCCUUUGGCCUGGAAUAACACGAGGAAACUUGUGCUAAUACCGGAUAAGUCUUUACGGAGAAAGCUUUAUGCACCAUUGGAUGAGCCUGCACUUGAUUAGUUUGUUGGUGGGGUAAUGGCCUACCAAGACUUUGAUCAAUAGCUGAUUUGAGAGGAUGAUCAGCCACAUUGGGACUGAGACACGGCCCAAACUCCUACGGGAGGCAGCAGUGGGGAAUCUUGCACAAUGGAGGAAACUCUGAUGCAGCGAUGCCGCGUGAGUGAAGAAGGCCCUUGGGUUGUAAAGCUCUUUCGUCGGGGAAGAAAAUGACUGUACCCGAAUAAGAAGGUCCGGCUAACUUCGUG